RNAcentral lists this ribosomal RNA (451 nucleotides) under uncultured bacterium. Its description in RNAcentral is "partial 16S ribosomal RNA". It matches the Rfam family "Bacterial small subunit ribosomal RNA", at positions 28 to 507 of the family's 1533-position model. The record is from RNAcentral.
GAUGAACGCUGGCGGCGUGCCUAACACAUGCAAGUCGAGCGGCAGCGCGAGGAGUUCUCUCCUUGGCCGAGAGCGACGGACGGCUGAGUGAGGCGCAGGAACGUGCCCUGACGUGAGGCAUGACUGAACGAAGGGAUGGCUAAUGCCGCAUCGGAUCUUCGCAUUAGAGUCGUCGGACGCGUUGGGAGCGGCCUGCGUGAGAGGGGGUAGUUGGUGACGUAAUGGCUCACCAAGCCGACGAUCGAUAGCUGGUAUGAGAGGAUGAUCAGCCAGACUGGGACUGAGACACGGCCCAGACUCCUACGGGAGGCAGCAGUGAGGAAUCUGCCACAAUGGGCGAAAGCCUGAUGGAGCAACGCCGCGUGAAGGAUGAAGGUCCUAGGGUCGUAAACUGCUUUUAUAAGUGAAGAAUAUGACGGUAACUUAUGAAUAAGCACCGGCUAACUACGUG